AGAGUUUGAUCAUGGCUCAGGAUGAACGCUAGCUACAGGCUUAACACAUGCAAGUCGGAGGGGAAACGAUAUUGGAAGCUUGUCUUCCGAUAGGCGUCGACCGGCGUACGGGUGAGUAACGCGUAUCCAACCUCGCCCACCACUUGGGGAUAACCUUGCGAAAGUAAGACUAAUACCCAAUGACGUCUCUAGAAGACAUCUGAAAGAGAUUAAAGAUUUAUCGGUGAUGGAUGGGGAUGCGUCUGAUUAGCUUGUUGGCGGGGUAACGGCCCACCAAGGCGACGAUCAGUAGGGGUUCUGAGAGGAAGGCCCCCCACAUUGGAACUGAGACACGGUCCAAACUCCUACGGGAGGCAGCA
RNAcentral lists this ribosomal RNA (359 nucleotides) under uncultured bacterium. RNAcentral's name for it is "bacterial SSU rRNA". It matches the Rfam family "Bacterial small subunit ribosomal RNA", at positions 8 to 353 of the family's 1533-position model. The record is from RNAcentral.